GAUGAACGCUGGCGGCGUGCCUAAUACAUGCAAGUCGAGCGAAUGGAUUAAGAGCUUGCUCUUAUGAAGUUAGCGGCGGACGGGUGAGUAACACGUGGGUAACCUGCCCAUAAGACUGGGAUAACUCCGGGAAACCGGGGCUAAUACCGGAUAACAUUUUGAACCGCAUGGUUCGAAAUUGAAAGGCGGCUUCGGCUGUCACUUAUGGAUGGACCCGCGUCGCAUUAGCUAGUUGGUGAGGUAACGGCUCACCAAGGGAACGAUGCGUAGCCGACCUGAGAGGGUGAUCGGCCACACUGGGACUGAGACACGGCCCAGACUCCUACGGGAGGCAGCAGUAGGGAAUCUUCCGCAAUGGACUAAAGUCUGACGGAGCAACGCCGCGUGAGUGAUGAAGGCUUUCGGGUCGUAAAACUCUGUUGUUAGGGAAGAACAAGUGCUAGUUGAAUAAGCUGGCACCUUGACGGUACCUAACCAGAAAGCCACGGCUAACUACGUGCCAGCCGCCGCCGUAA
RNAcentral lists this ribosomal RNA (515 nucleotides) under uncultured bacterium. RNAcentral's name for it is "partial 16S ribosomal RNA". It matches the Rfam family "Bacterial small subunit ribosomal RNA", at positions 28 to 523 of the family's 1533-position model. The record is from RNAcentral.